This 253-nucleotide ribosomal RNA is filed under the name uncultured bacterium. RNAcentral's name for it is "partial 16S ribosomal RNA". It matches the Rfam family "Bacterial small subunit ribosomal RNA", at positions 524 to 776 of the family's 1533-position model. The record is from RNAcentral.
UACGUAGGUGGCAAGCGUUGUCCGGAAUUACUGGGCGUAAGGAGCGCGCAGGCGGCUGGUCAAGUCCGAUGUGAAAGCUUCCGGCUUAACUGGGAAAUUGCAUCGGAAACUGAUCGGCUUGAAGGUGGGAGAGGGUAGUGGAAUUCCCGGUGUAGUGGUGAAAUGCGUAGAUAUCGGGAGGAACACCAGUGGCGAAGGCGACUACCUGGCCCACUCUUGACGCUGAGGCGCGAAAGCUAGGGGAGCGAACGGG